Molecule: long non-coding RNA, 5475 nt
Organism: Rhineura floridana
Lineage: Eukaryota; Metazoa; Chordata; Lepidosauria; Squamata; Rhineuridae
Exons: 8
Source: RefSeq, a predicted model, not a curated record
CUCACAGAGGCCCACAAGAAUGGAGGGCUCCUGGGUCACUGCUCCCUCAUAGACUGGGAUGGCCACCAGCUUUUCUGAACACUUUUCCUGAGGCCCUCGGCCAUUAUCCUUGGCCACAGAACCCGCCACAGCUGCUCCCAGCCUCCUCCAAUGAGAACACUAAUUAGAACUGAGAGAACGGUUCUGAUUGGGCGGGACCAGCAGAGAGGACAGAGAGAGUAGUUCUAACUGGACACCCUUAGUUGCAACCGGGGUGUCAGGAGAUGAGUGAGUCAGAGGGCGCCGGCUGUUUGUUUGCCUCAGUGGGAGAAGGAAAGGGUCAACAGAUGCAAAGAGGACUUCCUCCUUAACAAGCUGUGGCGGCAACCCUUUUUUCUUCUUCAGUGCAGCCAUUCAAGUGCAACCUACAGACCCAAGAAGGCCUCUCUCAGGAGACACAAUGAGACACUUGAGGCAUCACUAAAAAGGAGGUUAAAUGGAACAACUUUUCACUCCAGGUAUCUGCGGUGAAAGGGACACUCCACCUGCCACUCACAUUUCAGGUGGUUGUCACAUGACUCCUGGAGCGGCAUCAGCGACUCCCCUUCAAAUACACAACCCACCAAUAAACAUAAUGGGCCUUGGCAGGACAGAGCUGGCUGCAUCGUUGUGGGUCAAAGACAGGGCAGAUACCACAGAGAAGAGAACAAAGCAGCCUUUUGCAUGGCAGGGCUCUAAGCUACCGAGCACAGAGACAGCGUGGAAAUAAGGACAGGAGGUAAUCUGUAACCCCGUGGUUUCAAAAACGGCUUGAGCUUCAUUCAGAGACUCAGGACUGGCUGCUUCUCUUGCAUAGGUAGCUGAACAAUCACAAAAAGGCACCUGUGGACACCAGAAAAAGCUCACCCGACGUACAAUGGACAUUGGCACAUGCAAUCUACAAAGAAGGAUCUAGGCCCACAAGAGCAAAACUGACCCCUCAGCUAUAUCUCCUAACGCAGCCUUCGCCAGCUUGCUGCCCUCCAGAUCUUUUGGAAUCACAACCCCCACCAGCCCCAUCCAGCAUGACCCAUGGCGAUGAGAGCGAUAAUCCAAAACAUCUGGACGGCUGACCAAACGCUAUUCAGGCGUCAGACGAAAGAGGAGAAGCCUGUCACUGGAGUCCGUGAGCCUGAAGCAGGCUGUCCUGUCGGGGUGUACACCCCUCCUGAGCUCUGUGUCGUGAUGACAGUCUGGAAGUGUGGCCGAUGGAAACGCUUUGCUUUAGGCGACUAGCAUGUUCACAGACAAUGAGUCCGAGAAACUCACCUGUAUCAUAAAGACCUGAGGGAAAACGGUUACAUCCAGCGAUACAGCCCCAGAAAUGAUGGACCAGAACGGAUGGGCAGAAGGCAGACUGGGAGCUGCAGACCUCUGGGUGAUUUGCAAUAAGAUCAGCAAAAGUUUCCAACUCACAAUUGUCUAACAAUAGCAACAACAGAAUGUUUCCCUACCUGCCUAAAUGACGCUGCGGAAAUGAAGAAAGCAUGCCAGGAGAGGCUUUUGUACAAAAGAACGGUGAGCUUAGUUCAAUUUCUGGUACUGAAAACCAAUUCCUCAACGUGGACUGUGCUCAGUGGCACCCCCGUUCCUUGACAGUAUUCUCACUUUAUGCCUUUUGCGCCUGGCUCUGGCUGAUAGGUCUUGGGAUUCCAGUAAAAACAAAGUAGAUGCUGCACACCAGACGUCUACUCACCCCUGAACUAGAAGCCCUACUCCCCCCCCUCCAUUAUUGCUGGGACUUUCCUCCAGGAUAGCAACUGCAACAAACUGUCUGUUUUACCAUCCCAAACGGUCCCUCCAACCACAGGGCUAUAAACUCACUUCUGAUUCUGAGGCAUCCAAGGGUUUCUCGUUGAGGGUGACGCUUUCUGUCAGCACUGCUCCAUUAUACUUGCUACAGAUGUCCUCAUCUGAAUAGUGCAAUCCGCCGGGGCUUGGGCGAGGAGGAGAUCUGGAUACAUCAAAGAAAAUAAAGUUAGGGGUGUUGCAAAUUUCCCCUCUAUCAAACAUAACACAUGUACUGUAAUCGCUUUCUUUCUCUGUGUGUGUGUUGCAAAAAACUCUGGGACAUUUUCUGCAGCUCAUUUUUAAAAAUAAAGUAUUUGUGAAUCUCAGCUACACACACACACAUUUAAAAACAGUUUUGCAGGAAGAAAUGUAAAAAAUAAUAAAAAAAUAUUAAAGGACCGCAGGUAAAAGAGGCAAGUAAAAAGUAUAUGUAAUCCGGAUGUGUUGUUACAUAACCAAGUUUUUCAAGUACUGCUGCACAACCACACAAACUUGUAAGAAGAGCGAUCCCUGUCUGAUCUCAGUAUUAGGAUGGUCAACCAGUUAGGUUGACUGACCCACAGAGCAGACCCACUGAGUUCUGAAUUCUGUUGUGGGACUUGGAAGCCUGCAGCACCUGGGUCCAACAUGCUAUUGUGAGUCAUGCUGUUACGGACCUUGCCUUUUUUCCUUCAGACUUAGCAUGGCCUAAGAGGCACUGGCAUUUCAUUUGGCUGCUCCAAGCACCUGGAGCUGAGGGUUAUACCUACCACGGGGGCAGAAACUGGCUUGCCCAGGCUAAGGGUGGAGAAUUACUAUUAUUUUGAUUUCUUACUCGCCCUUUGCCAUAAGGCCCCAGGGUGGGUUACAACCAUUUGUGUCUACGUGAGGGAAACAAUUUUGGUUGCUUUAGGAUUUCAGAGUGCUGGACUGAUGUUGAAUUGGGACCAACAGAGUUUGUGCUAGCUUCUAUACCGCUAAUAUUUGCUUAGCCUAAAACAUUGGUAAGUAAUGGACUGUUAUGAAGACACCAUAUGCCACUCAGGUGCUCUUUCAUCUCAAGAUAAACUUGCUCUGUACAGCCUGUGCUGAACUUCUCAUCACUCAGAAAACAGGAGUAUCUGAUGAUCCUGAGGAGAACACUGAAUAUUGCAGUGGGCCCUCCCACUUCCAACGCCACCCAAAGUUGACCCAAGAGGUUGGGGGCUCUAUCCGUGGGGGUUCGAACUCUGUGCAUAUUUCAGAAGAGUUAUGUUUAUUUUUGCUGAUUUGUGGGCUCAGGGCUAAACUGACAAAGUGUGUGGGCGGGGUUGGAGGGUUUAGUGAGUUUGUUUUUACCUAUUAUUGUUUCGUUGCAAAAGGAUGUUUUAGGUGUGUGUUUAAAUGCCUGGGAUGGGUUUGGAACUGGAAUAAAUCAGGAUAGAAAAUGCAUUCCCUGAUGCCCACAGCCCUUCUCCAGAGUGCCUGCGCUUGGAGCGAUGCUGCAGGCUGCUUGUCCAAACAACACAAGGCUGAGGCUGCCUUACCUUGACCCAUUCUUCUUGGAGAAAGUGUUUUUGACAUUGAGGUGUCGGCUGUUGAGCUCAAGGGCUGUAAACCCCCCAUUAUCCAGAGUGACAGACUCUUCCACAUUGGAAAUACUUUUUCCUGGGGACAAACGGCGACAGAAUGAGCGCAGACAAAGUUCCUGCCCUGGCUCUGUGUGAAGACAGAGAGAGAACUGCCAUUUCUCUUGACUUUUAACAAGGUCUUUGCUAUGAAGAUAAGACAAGUUUGUCACAGGGAUUUGCUACCCCUCCCUGAUCAUCACAGAACAACCAAAGAAGCAAGUUUUGAACCAUGUUUUUACAAAGAAUAUCUGCAAUGUCCUAUUUUAUUAGGACAACUUCAGUAGUUUACAUUUUCUUCUUUUAUAAGAUUGUUUUUGGCGGGGUGAUGGCCAGUGUGGGGUAAGCAAAGUUUCUAACGAAGUAUAGAUUUCACCAUCAGGCAUAGAUGUCGGGAACAAAAUUUAGAGCAAACAGGAUUAGGUGCUUCCAGGCUUAGUGGCUCAUCUCAUCUGCGUACCCUGACAACACAAGACAUGCUUUCAAGUUAUAAAGCCCUGAAUCUUACUCAAGUUAUCUUGACAGUAAAGCUCCAUUGAUUUCAAUGGGCUUUAUUCCCAAGGAAGUAUGUUUAGGAUUACAGCUUUGCAGCCUGCUCCUGUCAACGUUCACUGAGAAACAACUUGUGACUGAAUUCAAUGGUAUUAAGAUCUGGUCUACAUGCCACAGAAUGAGCCAGGAAAGACUUAAUAGUAUCCUGAGGUAGGAGAAUGAACCACGCCAUUUCAGAACACCAUUUUCUUGAAUGUUGCUUUGCAUAAACUCCUUGUAAGUAGGAGAAUUGGAACGUGGGCUAUAACUUUUCUCCGUAGUGUGUUCAUGGUUUGUUUGUUUGUUUACUUGGCGGGAAUAUUUUAAAAGGUAUUCCACAUUUGCAGCUUGACGUGGUGCUGUCCGUUGCCCUGUCUAGGAUGCCACGUCUCAUUCUGCCUCUCUUCCUAACAAGCGUACACAGGACUACAGCCUAACAGCACGACUCUAUGGCAGUUACUUCUGCACAAGUAAAGCUAUUGGGCAUCCCUGUACAACUGGCAACCCAUCAAGAUGAAUGUGGCCCACCUGCCAAGGGCUCCACUAUGCACCCACGCCACUCUGAGUUUGCAGUCCAGGACAGGCAGCAAAAGCAGGAGGCUUACUUCACCCUUGGCUCACUGCCAUACAUGGUGGGCCUUUGACUUAGUGGAUCACAUCUUGUCCAGGUCUGCCACAGGGUUUCCUGCAUUAACACUGUGUUUAUUGAUCUGUUACAGUUAUAUUUCACCUUUUACCCAAGGGACCCACCCCCCUCACCAUUUUAUACUCUGUGAGACAGGUUAGGCUGAGAUAUGGCGCCUGGCCCAGUGGGCUUCCUGGCUACAUGGGAAUGUGAGCCUGGGUCUUCCCAGCCCUAACCCAACGCUCUAGUCACAUCGCCACGCUGGCUCUCCAUGCCCCUGUCGGGUGCCUUGCAGCUACAGGGACUUGCUUGGGGCUUUUGCUUGCUGCCUCUGCUGCGUAUCCCCAAAGGCCUGGUGUGUGUCUCAGCUGACUGAAGGAGCAUCCGCCCUCCCACCCUUGGCCUGCCAUAAAUCUCCUCUGCUGCAGGCAGGUGUUUUAGCCUGAAGGAAGGCUGGGCAAACCGUGCAGGUCAGAUCUGCCAUUUCAUUUGCGUCCUCUAGAGGGAGAGCAUGAGGAAGGAGAUGGCUUUUCCUAUGCCAGCUGCAUAGGAAUCUAUAACAGCAUUAGCUCAGUAAAAGGAGCUCAUUUCAACAUUUCCAAUCCCAGGGGAAUAAAACCUGAUUUACUGACACUUGUUAGAAGCAAAUUUAUACUGAAGCACAGAGGGAAUGUAUAAAUCCUUUAUUUGACCAUUAAAUUGCUGUUUUUUUUAAAAAAAGGUGGCUUUCUCUAAUGGGUCUGUAACACACACACCCCUGCCUUAUCCAAAUUCUUCUGUUAACAGUGCAGCAUCACAGAGGCCAGGGCCCACUGCCGCAUCCUUCACCUGCUCACUAGAUGUUCUAGGAAAACCCUGGCUCUUGGCAUUGAAGAAUUAAAGUGCCUGCCACAGAUACAGGCAGGUUAUUGGAGCAGACCACUC